This is a non-coding RNA of Caretta caretta (loggerhead turtle), 964 nucleotides long. NCBI's taxonomy places the organism in Eukaryota, Metazoa, Chordata, Testudines, Cheloniidae. The record is from RefSeq and is a predicted model, not a curated record.
GGCAAGUGGCCAGGGGACCUUAUAUCCUCCCCCGGGCGGGGGGGCCUCUUCCUUUCGCCGGGGCGGCGCGACGCAAGAUGGCGGUGCAGAUCUCCAAGAAGCGCAAGUUUGUCGCUGAUGGUAUCUUCAAAGCUGAGCUAAAUGAGUUUCUGACUCGUGAGUUAGCUGAAGAUGGAUACUCUGGAGUAGAGGUCCGAGUUACUCCAACGAGGACUGAAAUUAUCAUCCUUGCUACCAGAACACAAAACGUUCUUGGUGAGAAGGGACGCCGAAUCCGUGAGCUGACUGCUGUUGUACAGAAAAGGUUUGGAUUUCCUGAAGGAAGCGUUGAGCUCUAUGCUGAGAAGGUGGCCACAAGAGGUCUUUGUGCUAUUGCCCAAGCAGAAUCCUUGCGUUACAAACUUCUGGGAGGUUUAGCAGUGCGUCGAGCCUGCUAUGGCGUCCUCCGCUUCAUCAUGGAGAGUGGUGCUAAGGGUUGUGAGGUGGUGGUGUCCGGUAAACUCAGAGGCCAGCGAGCCAAGUCUAUGAAGUUUGUGGAUGGCCUGAUGAUCCACAGUGGAGAUCCUGUAAACUACUAUGUCGAUACAGCUGUGCGCCACGUCCUCCUCAGGCAGGGUGUGCUGGGUAUUAAAGUAAAGAUUAUGUUGCCUUGGGACCCAAGUGGGAAGAUUGGACCCAAGAAACCGCUGCCAGACCAUGUCAGCAUUGUGGAGCCCAAGGAAGAGAUCUUACCCACCACACCCAUCUCCGAGCAGAAAGGUGGCAAACCAGAACAGCCAGCCAUGCCUCAGCCAGUUCCCACUGCAUAAUGGGGUGCACCCAGUCUUUGACUGCAAGGUCAGUUGCUACAGUGCAGGGUCUGGGGUGAUGGAGUGGAAAGUAAGGGCAAUAGGAUUUUUCAACACUUGGAAGGAGAAGGUGGACUGUGGCCCGUGAAAGGAUCUUAAUAAAAUCAUAAAAGACA